RNAcentral lists this ribosomal RNA (253 nucleotides) under uncultured microorganism. Its description in RNAcentral is "partial 16S ribosomal RNA". It matches the Rfam family "Bacterial small subunit ribosomal RNA", at positions 524 to 776 of the family's 1533-position model. The record is from RNAcentral.
UACGUAGGGGGCGAGCGUUACCCGGAUUCACUGGGCGUAAAGGGGGCGUAGGCGGCCGUGUAAGUCCGGUGUGAAAUACCACGGCUCAACCGUGGAACUGCGCUGGAAACUACACGGCUUGAGGACGGUAGAGGGAGACGGAACUGCUGGUGUAGGGGUGAAAUCCGUAGAUAUCAGCAGGAACGCCGGUGGGGAAGCCGGUCUCCUGGGCCGUUCCUGACGCUGAGGCCCGAAAGCUAGGGGAGCAAACAGG